RNAcentral lists this long non-coding RNA (278 nucleotides) under Rattus norvegicus (Norway rat). RNAcentral's name for it is "long non-coding RNA NONRATT011012". The record is from RNAcentral. Lineage: Eukaryota; Metazoa; Chordata; Mammalia; Rodentia; Muridae.
AAGGCAAGCAGAUAACAGAAAUCAAGCAAAAGAGGUAAUCAAGUACAAAAACUGCUUGGGAAGAAGUCAAGCAUGGAAAACAAUGGAUUAGUGAGCCUUGAACUGAGGCUGAAUGAGCUGCCCCGCCUGCCUGUGCUGCUCAAGUCUCCUGAGCACCCUCCCUUCUCCUGCUGCUCGGCUCCUGUUCACUCUUGAUCCAAAGGUCAAAGGUGUUUGUUCUUCACCUCUGACCUGGUGUGCACGGAUUCUGGGAUUGGUUCAGUAAAAUACGGACUUAA